This 22-nucleotide non-coding RNA is filed under the name Arabidopsis thaliana (thale cress). Lineage: Eukaryota; Viridiplantae; Streptophyta; Magnoliopsida; Brassicales; Brassicaceae. The record is from RNAcentral.
CCAAAAGUAGCGACAGUUGCCA